RNAcentral lists this transfer RNA (71 nucleotides) under Bos taurus (domestic cattle). It matches the Rfam family "tRNA". From Rfam's summary of the family: Transfer RNA (tRNA) molecules are approximately 80 nucleotides in length. Their secondary structure includes four short double-helical elements and three loops (D, anti-codon, and T loops). RNAcentral also lists the same sequence under 4 other names. Lineage: Eukaryota; Metazoa; Chordata; Mammalia; Artiodactyla; Bovidae. The record is from Rfam by way of RNAcentral.
UCCCAGGUGGCUCAGUGGUAAAGAAUCUGCCUGCCAAGCAGGAGAUGCAGGUUCGAUCCCUGGGUCAGGAA